RNAcentral lists this ribosomal RNA (253 nucleotides) under uncultured bacterium. Its description in RNAcentral is "partial 16S ribosomal RNA". It matches the Rfam family "Bacterial small subunit ribosomal RNA", at positions 524 to 776 of the family's 1533-position model. The record is from RNAcentral.
UACGGGGGGGGCAAGCGUUGUUCGGAAUUACUGGGCGUAAAGGGCUCGUAGGCGGCCAACUAAGUCAGACGUGAAAUCCCCAGGCUUAACCUGGGAACUGCGUCUGAUACUGGAUGGCUUGAAUUCGGGAGAGGGAUGCAGAAUUCCAGGUGUAGCGGUGAAAUGCGUAGAUAUCUGGAGGAACACCGGUGGCGAAGGCGGCAUCCUGGACCGACACUGACGCUGAGGAGCGAAAGCCAGGGGAGCAAACGGG